This 334-nucleotide unclassified non-coding RNA is filed under the name soil metagenome. RNAcentral's name for it is "partial contains 5.8S ribosomal RNA, internal transcribed spacer 2, and large subunit ribosomal RNA". The stretch from base 1 to 120 matches the Rfam family "5.8S ribosomal RNA", at positions 35 to 154 of the family's 154-position model. The record is from RNAcentral.
GAUGAAGAACGCAGCGAAAUGCGAUAAGUAAUGUGAAUUGCAGAAUUCAGUGAAUCAUCGAAUCUUUGAACGCACAUUGCGCCCGCCAGUAUUCUGGCGAGCAUGCCUGUUCGAGCGUCAUUUCAACCAUCAAGCCCCAGGCUUGUGUUGGAGCCCUGCGGCUGCCGCAGCCUCCCAAAACCAGUGGCGGGCUCGCUAUCACACCGAGUGCAGUAGUUUACUCUUCGCUCAGGGCGUGUGGCGGGUGCUAGCCGUGAAACCCCCAACUUCUCAAGGUUGACCUCGGAUCAGGUAGGAAUACCCGCUGAACUUAAGCAUAUCAAUAUGCGGAGGA